Molecule: ribosomal RNA, 434 nt
Filed under: uncultured bacterium
Lineage: Bacteria
Description: partial 16S ribosomal RNA
Rfam family: Bacterial small subunit ribosomal RNA
Source: RNAcentral
AGCGAACGCUGGCGGCAGGCCUAACACAUGCAAGUCGAACGAACCUUUCGGGGUUAGUGGCGGACGGGUGAGUAACACGUGGGAACGUGCCUUUAGGUUCGGAAUAACUCAGGGAAACUUGUGCUAAUACCGAAUGUGCCCUUCGGGGGAAAGAUUUAUCGCCUUUAGAGCGGCCCGCGUCUGGUUAGCUAGUUGGUUGAGGUAAUGGCACACCAAGGCGACGAUCAGUAGCUGGUCUGAGAGGAUGAUCAGCCACAUUGGGACUGAGACACGGCCCAAACUCCUACGGGAGGCAGCAGUGGGGAAUAUUGCGCAAUGGGCGAAAGCCUGACGCAGCCAUGCCGCGUGAAUGAUGAAGGUCGUAGGAUUGUAAAAUUCUUUCACCGGGGACGAUAAUGACGGUACCCGGAGAAGAAGCCCCGGCUAACUUCGUG